This is a regulatory RNA element of Carnobacterium sp., 58 nucleotides long. It matches the Rfam family "Lacto-rpoB RNA". Lineage: Bacteria; Bacillati; Bacillota; Bacilli; Lactobacillales; Carnobacteriaceae. The record is from Rfam.
AGUAGAAGUAAACUUGUUCUGAAAUAUUGUCCAGAAUAGGUUUUUAAAGAAAAACAAA